AUACCUUUCUCGGCCUUUUGGCUAAGAUCAAGUGUAGUAUCUGUUCUUAUCAGUUUAAUAUCUGAUAUGUGAGUCAUCGACUCACACGAUAUUAACUCAAUUUUUUAAGGGGGAAAGUCCAUUAAGGUAGCUUGUUAUCUGGGCUCUCAAGCGUCGCUCAUGUGUUGCACUAUUGCACGGGCCUGGCGCACCCCAC
Molecule: small nuclear RNA, 196 nt
Filed under: Nicotiana attenuata
Lineage: Eukaryota; Viridiplantae; Streptophyta; Magnoliopsida; Solanales; Solanaceae
Description: snRNA U2
Rfam family: U2 spliceosomal RNA
About the family: U2 is a small nuclear RNA (snRNA) component of the spliceosome (involved in pre-mRNA splicing). Complementary binding between U2 snRNA (in an area lying towards the 5' end but 3' to hairpin I) and the branchpoint sequence (BPS) of the intron results the bulging out of an unpaired adenosine, on the BPS, which initiates a nucleophilic attack at the intronic 5' splice site, thus starting the first of two transesterification reactions that mediate splicing.
Source: Rfam by way of RNAcentral